This 433-nucleotide ribosomal RNA is filed under the name uncultured bacterium. RNAcentral's name for it is "partial 16S ribosomal RNA". It matches the Rfam family "Bacterial small subunit ribosomal RNA", at positions 29 to 507 of the family's 1533-position model. The record is from RNAcentral.
AACGAACGCUGGCGGCAUGCCUAACACAUGCAAGUCGAACGAGACCUUCGGGUCUAGUGGCGCACGGGUGCGUAACGCGUGGGAACCUGCCCUUAGGUUCGGAAUAACUCCCCGAAAGGGGUGCUAAUACCGGAUAAUGUCCUCGGACCAAAGAUUUAUCGCCUUUGGAUGGGCCCGCGUUGGAUUAGCUAGUUGGUAGGGUAAAAGCCUACCAAGGCGACGAUCCAUAGCUGGUCUGAGAGGAUGAUCAGCCACACUGGAACUGAGACACGGCCCAGACUCCUACGGGAGGCAGCAGUGGGGAAUAUUGGACAAUGGGCGAAAGCCUGAUCCAGCAAUGCCGCGUGAGUGAUGAAGGCCUUAGGGUUGUAAAGCUCUUUUACCCGGGAUGAUAAUGACAGUACCGGGAGAAUAAGCUCCGGCUAACUCCGUG